GUUUUAGUAGUUUAAAGCAAAACUUUGGUCUUGUAAAUCAAAAUUAAGGAAUUUCCUUCUAAAACU
This 66-nucleotide transfer RNA is filed under the name Isoperla grammatica. RNAcentral describes it as "tRNA-Thr". It matches the Rfam family "tRNA". From Rfam's summary of the family: Transfer RNA (tRNA) molecules are approximately 80 nucleotides in length. Their secondary structure includes four short double-helical elements and three loops (D, anti-codon, and T loops). Lineage: Eukaryota; Metazoa; Arthropoda; Insecta; Plecoptera; Perlodidae. The record is from RNAcentral.